CUAAUAACCUAGCCGUAUAAUAUUUUAUAUUCCCCCCCACCCAUUUUAUCCAACACAAUAAAACAUUCUUUUAAUCUAGUAAAGGCGAUAAAAAAAUUUUAUAGAGCUAAACAAGAAGUACCGAAAGGGAAAGAUGAAAUAAAAAUGAAACAAACACUUAAGCACAAAAAAGUAAAGAUUUACUCUUGUACCUUUUGCAUCAUGGUUUAACUAGUUCUUAUCAAGCAAAAUGAAUUUUAGUUUGACCCCCCGAAACUAAGUGAGCUACCCCAAGGCAGCUUUAUGAGCCAACCCGUCUCUGUUGCAAAAGAGUGGGAAGAUCUUUGGGUAGAGGUGAUAAAUCAAACGAACUUAGUAAUAGCUGGUUCCUCAAGAAAAGAAUUUUAGUUCCCCCUAAAGCUAUAAAAUGAAAAUAAAACAAUCACUUCUGCUUUAGAGCUAUUCAAAUAAGGUACAGCCUGUUUGAAAUAGGGCACAACCUAAACUAAUAGGUUAUAUUUAAUAAAAUAAUAAAGUAGGCCUAAAAGCAGCCAUCUUUAAAACAGCGUCAAAGCUUAAUUUAUUUAAUUUUCUUAAUAACAAAAAUUAUUUAAAACCUUUUAACACUAUUGAGGAAUUCUAUAACACUAUAGAAUUUAUUAUGUUAAAACUAGUAACAAGAAGCAAACCCUUCUCUUUAAUGUAAGCAUAAGCCAGAAAGGAUAAACCACUGUCAAUUAACACUAAUGAACCCUAAUUAGCAACAUCCCAAGAAAAACCUAAUUAAAUUUAUGUUAACCUAACACAAGCACAUUUCAAGAAAGAUUUUAAAAAAAAGAAGGAACUCGGCAAACAAAACCCCGCCUGUUUACCAAAAACAUCGCCUCUUGAAAUUAGAUAAGAGGUCCAGCCUGCCCAGUGAAUUAAUUCAACGGCCGCGGUAUCCUAACCGUGCGAAGGUAGCGUAAUCACUUGUUCUUUAAAUGAGGACUAGUAUGAAUGGCACCACGAGGGUUUUACUGUCUCCUUUUUUUAAUCAGUGAAACUAAUCUUCCCGUGAAGAAGCGGGAAUAUUUUUAUAAGACGAGAAGACCCUAUGGAGCUUUAAAUUAAUUUACAUUUGCUGCAACCUACUUAUUUUCUGAAACACUCAAAUAAAGCAUAGCACCUUGAUUAUUAAUUUUCGAUUGGGGUGAUCACGGAGCAAAAAAUAACCUCCAUGUUGAAAGGAUAAACUCCUGAGCAAAAAGACACAACUUUAUGCACUAAAAAACUAACACAUAUUGAUCCAAUAUUUUGAUCAACGAACCAAGUUACCCUAGGGAUAACAGCGCAAUCCACUUCAAGAGCUCCUAUCGACAAGUGGGUUUACGACCUCGAUGUUGGAUCAGGGUAUCCUAGUGGUGCAGCCGCUACUAAUGGUUCGUUUGUUCAACGAUUAAAACCCU
This 1427-nucleotide ribosomal RNA is filed under the name Boana microderma (smallskin treefrog). RNAcentral's name for it is "Hypsiboas microderma (smallskin treefrog) partial 16S ribosomal RNA". It matches the Rfam family "Bacterial large subunit ribosomal RNA", at positions 372 to 2597 of the family's 2925-position model. The record is from RNAcentral. Lineage: Eukaryota; Metazoa; Chordata; Amphibia; Anura; Hylidae.